GUAACGCGUGGGAACGUGCCUUCCGGUUCGGAAUAACCCUGGGAAACUAGGGCUAAUACCGGAUACGCCCUUAUGGGGAAAGGUUUACUGCCGGAAGAUCGGCCCGCGUCUGAUUAGCUAGUUGGUGGGGUAACGGCCUACCAAGGCGACGAUCAGUAGCUGGUCUGAGAGGAUGAUCAGCCACACUGGGACUGAGACACGGCCCAGACUCCUACGGGAGGCAGCAGUGGGGAAUAUUGGACAAUGGGCGCAAGCCUGAUCCAGCCAUGCCGCGUGAGUGAUGAAGGCCUUAGGGUUGUAAAGCUCUUUUAUCCGGGACGAUAAUGACGGUACCGGAGGAAUAAGCCCCGGCUAACUUCGUGCCAGCAGCCGCGGUAAUACGAAGGGGGCUAGCGUUGCUCGGAAUCACUGGGCGUAAAGGGCGCGUAGGCGGCGUUUUAAGUCGGGGGUGAAAGCCUGUGGCUCAACCACAGAAUGGCCUUCGAUACUGGGACGCUUGAGUAUGGUAGAGGUUGGUGGAACUGCGAGUGUAGAGGUGAAAUUCGUAGAUAUUCGCAAGAACACCGGUGGCGAAGGCGGCCAACUGGACCAUUACUGACGCUGAGGCGCGAAAGCGUGGGGAGCAAACAGGAUUAGAUACC
Molecule: ribosomal RNA, 641 nt
Filed under: Methylobacterium sp. I15B-00805
Lineage: Bacteria; Pseudomonadati; Pseudomonadota; Alphaproteobacteria; Hyphomicrobiales; Methylobacteriaceae
Description: bacterial SSU rRNA
Rfam family: Bacterial small subunit ribosomal RNA
Source: RNAcentral